Molecule: non-coding RNA, 426 nt
Organism: Oryctolagus cuniculus (rabbit)
Lineage: Eukaryota; Metazoa; Chordata; Mammalia; Lagomorpha; Leporidae
Source: Ensembl
AGGCACGGGAGGGAGAGUGGCCUUGGGGGAGAGUUGUGUGUGCUGUGCAUAGGUGUCGCAUGGGAGGCGUGGGUGGGCCGAGGCGUGAGUGGAUGCCCGAAUGUGUGUGAGUGUAUGUUCACGCACAUGCAUCUUACAUACAAGAGGAGUGAGUACGCCCACCCCUACCCCACCAUGCCCACACCCCCGCCCCUCCACACACCUUGAUCUUAUUUGAUGGGGUCGUGACCCCACCUCACCAGGUCCCUUCUGUUAAGCCCUGUCUUUGGGGGCUGUGCAGCAAGGCCCUUGGGCAGCAGCAACGCCGGGGUCCCAGAGUCCCAGAGCUAGACCAACAGGGCCUCGCCCUCAGAAGUGAUAAACUGAUCAGGUAGACGGGGCUGCACUUGUCCCGGGCCGUUGAUUACUGAGGCGAUUCUGAUCUGA